RNAcentral lists this ribosomal RNA (464 nucleotides) under Vreelandella stevensii. RNAcentral describes it as "partial 16S ribosomal RNA". It matches the Rfam family "Bacterial small subunit ribosomal RNA", at positions 338 to 795 of the family's 1533-position model. Lineage: Bacteria; Pseudomonadati; Pseudomonadota; Gammaproteobacteria; Oceanospirillales; Halomonadaceae. The record is from RNAcentral.
CCUACGGGUGGCAGCAGUGGGGAAUAUUGGACAAUGGGGGGAACCCUGAUCCAGCCAUGCCGCAUGUGUGAAGAAGGCCCUCGGGUUGUAAAGCACUUUCAGUGAGGAAGAACGCCUGGUGUUAAUACCCAUCAGGAAAGACAUCACUCACAGAAGAAGCACCGGCUAACUCCGUGCCAGCAGCCGCGGUAAUACGGAGGGUGCGAGCGUUAAUCGGAAUUACUGGGCGUAAAGCGCGCGUUGGUGGCUUGAUAAGCCGGUUGUGAAAGCCCGGGGCUCAACCUGGGAACGGCAUCCGGAACUGUCAAGCUAGAGUGCAGGAGAGGAAGGUAGAAUUCCCGGUGUAGCGGUGAAAUGCGUAGAGAUCGGGAGGAAUACCAGUGGCGAAGGCGGCCUUCUGGACUGACACUGACACUGAGGUGCGAAAGCGUGGGUAGCAAACAGGAUUAGAUACCCGGGUAGUC